Molecule: ribosomal RNA, 692 nt
Filed under: uncultured Inocybe
Lineage: Eukaryota; Fungi; Basidiomycota; Agaricomycetes; Agaricales; Cortinariaceae
Description: eukaryotic LSU rRNA
Rfam family: 5.8S ribosomal RNA (bases 272-425)
Source: RNAcentral
CCGUAGGUGAACCUGCGGAAGGAUCAUUACUGAAGUAUUAUAAUAAGUUGUUGCUGGUCUUUCAAGGACAAUUGUGCACACUUGUUAUUCUUCAUUUCUCCAUUCUUUGUGCAUCACUUGUGUGGAUCUCUGUCUGAGUUCAUUUCAGAUAAUUAGGACUGCUUCGCAAAGUUACUAUUUGUGGGGCUUUCCUUGUAAUAUUUUGAUCUACAUGUUUUUCACAUACACCAAUGUUUAAAUGUUUAGAAGGAAAAAAGUUGAAUCUUUAUACAACUUUCAGCAACGGAUCUCUUGGCUCUCGCAUCGAUGAAGAACGCAGCGAAAUGCGAUAAGUAAUGUGAAUUGCAGAAUUCAGUGAAUCAUCGAAUCUUUGAACGCAUCUUGCGCUCCUUGGUAUUCUGAGGAGCAUGCCUGUUUGAGUGUCAUUAAUAUCUCAACCACAUUCAUUUUUUAUUUUGGCAUGUGGCUUGGACUUGGAGGAAUGUGCAGGCUCUGACUCUUGUAGUCUGCUCCUCUUAAAAAUAUAAGUGGUACCUAUAUUGGAACUUUGGCUAAGUGUGAUACAUAUCUGCAUCUAAUCAAGGUUUCCUAUUGCAAAUAGGUUAUGCUGCUGAUUAUUACAACUUGAUAAACUUGACCUCAAAUCAGGUAGGACCACCCGCUGAACUUAAGCAUAUCAAUAAGCGGAGGAA